Molecule: long non-coding RNA, 211 nt
Filed under: Elaeis guineensis (African oil palm)
Lineage: Eukaryota; Viridiplantae; Streptophyta; Magnoliopsida; Arecales; Arecaceae
Description: long non-coding RNA (EGUI_LNC044653)
Source: RNAcentral
CACCAGAAUGACACCAAGAAGACACUCUUUAGAUAUCACACAACUUAGGAUUUAAUUUUUGGCUCCAACAUAUGAAAAAACCAAAUCCUAAGGCACUCAAGCAACACUUGCUGAAAAUCUCACCACCCUAGUAGCAACUUUUGCCACUCCAAAUUUCCUCUUUUUUUAAAAUUUUUUUUUAGAUUUUUUCUUAUAUUUACCACGUCUCCCC